AAGAUCUUAAGUUAAUAAACUAUUUGCCUUCAAAACAAAAAUUAGAGAAUUUCUAGAUCUUG
This 62-nucleotide transfer RNA is filed under the name Clavisyllis tenjini. RNAcentral describes it as "tRNA-Trp". Lineage: Eukaryota; Metazoa; Annelida; Polychaeta; Phyllodocida; Syllidae. The record is from RNAcentral.